UAUAUAUAUGUCGAGUUAUCAACUAGAAAGGGUAAACACAUUGCUUCAAUGGUUACUUAUUUUUUUAUUUAGAAGGCAACGAAUUUCUUCCGAGGUACGUUCUUCAACUCCAUGUUCCUUUUUUAUUAUUUUUAUCCAUCUUUAUGUAUUCACACGAACACAAGUGCGGAUUCAGGGACGGGCAGGCUAGUGCUACAGCUUGUCCGUCCGCCCCUAAUCCCAUUUAAAAAAACUAGUAAAAAAUUUUUUUUGUGUAAAUUUUUUUUCCCCUGUAUUAGCCCGUGUUCAUGUCGAAAGCUGGAUCCGUCAAUGCACAAACAAGACCGACGGAAAGAAUUGUUAAUCGUUUGAACUUGAUGUCAAUAUCUAAUACGAACAAAUUGUUAAUUCUUUCUCUGUUUUUCGAAUUUAGAUUUUGAUUUUCGAAUUGGAACAGCAGAGAAGAUGGUGAUGACAGACUUGUUUCUCCCCGAAGAAAUAAUCAUUGAGAUCCUGAGUCGGUUACCAGUUAAAUCCCUGUUAAGAUUCAAAUGCGUCUGCAAAACCUGGUUUUCCAUAAUUGAAAAUCCUAAGUUCAUCGACAUGCAUAUGCACCGGGCUCCGUGUACUGUCGAAUACCGAAGUAGCAAUGAUACAGAAUUUACUUUCGUCAGAUAUCGGCAAGGAGAGAGAGAAUUCAACCAAAGCCUACCGAUUGAGGAAUCCGGCUACCAAACAAAUUCUUGAUUUGCCUAUUCCUUGUGACCAAUCAGGUAUUUAUACAAACAUGUGUUACAUCCGGACAACUAAUGAAUUAAAGGUGGUUUAUAUUCAUUACUCCAAGGACGAAGAAAAUAGAAAAGUACUAGUUUACACCCUUUUUAGGGUUGAUACUUGUUUUAAAAGGAAACGAUUAGAUUCCCCUUCCUCGUGUCAUCAUAGAAUUGGUUGGCCAGCCACCAAAGUCAUAGGGACGGUACUCUAUAAGGCAUCAAGCUCAGAUUAAUGGGUGAUUACGUUAUAGAUUGUCCUGAUUUGGAGAAUGAUCGUAUUACAAACACUAUUAAGGUACCACAAGAUUUCUUCUCAGAAUGGAGAAAUGUCUGGUUGGUGGACUUCGAAGGGAAGCUAUCUCUUGCCGGCGUGGAACAAAAGCAUUUGAGUAUUUAGGUUUUGGAAAAUUACAAGCUGAUAGCAAAAUCAGCAUACCCUUGACAUUCCUGAAAGAUUAUCCAAGCAUGUCGAGUGAAAAUAUAACUCCUUAUUGGGUGACAGAAAAUCGAGUUUGGAUGUAUCAUGAUUAUCAGAUAUUCACGUUUGAUAUUGACACUAGAAACGUCAUGUUCAUGACAUCCGCAUCUAAUAAUAAUGAGAUCUUGUACACUAAUAAAUCGAGCCUGCUUCAUGUUAAAGGAAUCCGUCCACUAAGUAAAACUGGAAAAAAUUUCAUUUGUAAACGUUGAGGACAUUUUAACCCCUCAACUGUGCAAAUUCCGGCCGCAAAUCGUCAAGAUUGUGUCAGGUGGUGUAGGAUUUGCG
RNAcentral lists this long non-coding RNA (1518 nucleotides) under Olea europaea subsp. europaea. The record is from RNAcentral. Lineage: Eukaryota; Viridiplantae; Streptophyta; Magnoliopsida; Lamiales; Oleaceae.